This 1344-nucleotide ribosomal RNA is filed under the name uncultured bacterium. RNAcentral describes it as "bacterial SSU rRNA". It matches the Rfam family "Bacterial small subunit ribosomal RNA", at positions 28 to 1381 of the family's 1533-position model. The record is from RNAcentral.
GACGAACACUGGCGGCGUGCUUAACACAUGCAAGUCGAACGGAAAGGCCCCGCUUGCAGGGUGCUCGAGUGGCGAACGGGUGAGUAACACGUGGGUGACCUGCCCCUUACUUUGGGAUAAGCCUGGGAAACUGGAUCUAAUACUGGAUAGGACCAUGCUGUAGGUGGUGUGGUGGAAAGAUUAGUUUCGGUAAGGGAUGAGCUCGCGGCCUAUCAGCUUGUUGGUGGGGUAAUGGCCUACCAAGGCGUCGACGGGUAGCCGGCCCGAGAGGGUGGACGGCCACAUUGGGACUGAGAUACGGCCCAGACUCCUACGGGAGGCAGCAGUGGGGAAUAUUGCACAAUGGGCGCAAGCCUGAUGCAGCGACGCCGCGUGGGGGAUGACGGCCUUCGGGUUGUAAACUCCUUCCAGCCAUGACGAAGCCCUUGUGGUGACGGUAGUGGUAGAAGAAGCACCGGCUAACUACGUGCCAGCAGCCGCGGUAAUACGUAGGGUGCGAGCGUUGUCCGGAAUUACUGGGCGUAAAGAGCUCGUAGGUGGUCUGUCGCGUCAUUUGUGAAAGCCCGGGGCUUAACUCCGGGUUGGCAGGUGAUACGGGCAUGACUGGAGUACUGUAGGGGAGACUGGAAUUCCUGGUGUAGCGGUGAAAUGCGCAGAUAUCAGGAGGAACACCGGUGGCGAAGGCGGGUCUCUGGGCAGUAACUGACGCUGAGGAGCGAAAGCAUGGGUAGCGAACAGGAUUAGAUACCCUGGUAGUCCAUGCCGUAAACGGUGGGCGCUAGGUGUGGGUUUCCUUCCACGGGAUCCGUGCCGUAGCUAACGCAUUAAGCGCCCCGCCUGGGGAGUACGGCCGCAAGGCUAAAACUCAAAGGAAUUGACGGGGGCCCGCACGAGCGGCGGAGCAUGUGGAUUAAUUCGACGCAACGCGAAGAACCUUACCUGGGCUUGACAUGCACUGGAUGCGGCCAGAGAUGGUUGUUCCCUUUGUGGCUGGUGUGCAGGUGGUGCAUGGUUGUCGUCAGCUCGCGUCGUGAGAUGUUGGGUUAAGUCCCGCAACGAGCGCAACCCUUGUCUCGUGUUGCCAGCAUUUGGUUGGGGACUCGCGGGAGACUGCCGGGGUUAACUCGGAGGAAGGUGGGGAUGACGUCAAAUCAUCAUGCCCCUUAUGUCCAGGGCUUCACACAUGCUACAAUGGCUGGUACAGAGAGUUGCGAUACCGUGAGGUGGGGCUAAUCUCGUAAAGCCAGUCUCAGUUCGGAUUGGAGUCUGCAACUCGACUCCAUGAAGUCGGAGUCGCUAGUAAUCGCAGAUCAGCAAUGCUGCGGUGAAUACGUUCCCGGGCCU